Molecule: non-coding RNA, 5522 nt
Organism: Oncorhynchus mykiss (rainbow trout)
Lineage: Eukaryota; Metazoa; Chordata; Actinopteri; Salmoniformes; Salmonidae
Source: RefSeq, a predicted model, not a curated record
UAAAUGUAUUUUCUCUCUCCAGCUGAGCGACGCCAGAUGACCGGAAAAGGACCCUCAUCUCUCUGAGACGUUGACCUUGACAAUGUGUCAGUCAGACACAUUAAAUGACAAAUAACUUAUUCUAUGUGGGUGUUGUUGAGUCCACUUAGCCUACAGAGGCCAUGCAUAGCAGUUCUUAAUGGAAGAACAAUCUCACUGAAUGGAUUGGAUUCUUAUAACCCAUGAUAAUAAUAUUUAUAACUCUGUAUCUUUUUGCCUGUCUGUCUGCCUCUGUCUGCCUGCCUGCCUGUUUCUCUCUCUCUCUAUCUCCCUCUCAACUUGAAUUACAAUAUUUCUCAUGUUCAGCUGAAUAAAAUAGAUGCAGCAUGAGGGUCCUUCAAUCACAGUCCAGUAGUUGAUAGGUGCACUUGUCUAGGUGUGUCUGUGAGCACAGCACAGCUGGUGUAGGCUAUAACCUAUGUUAACAUUAUUACAGUAUGAACAAAGGAUAUGUGGUAAUUCCAUGUGAGCAGCGAUGUGUUCAUCACAGGUAUAUACUCUACACCUACAUGCCAUGCCAGGAAAGUAUAGUUACCUACCCACUUUACCCAGAAGAUCUCAUGUUUUGUAAAUAUAGAUUUAAUUUUUUUUUGUAAAUCAACACUAACUCUUAUUUAAUCUAAGCUAAAUAAACAAAUAAAAGGAGGAUUUUACAAAUUAAAACAUUUGGGCUGGCAUUUCAGAAAGUAACGAAUCGUCACAAUUGUUUUAUUUGUUUGUUAUCAUGCCAACAGAGUGAAGUGAGUGGAGAGAUGCAGUAACAGUAGCUUGAUAGAGAGAGGCAGUGUAGCUAGCUACAGUCCAGGCACCUGCUACGCUAAUUAUCAUAACAGGUAUUUACUCUAAAUCAACAUUUUGUUUCGUACAUCUUAGUUCAUCUGCACAUCCUGGUUGUGAGAUGAACAUGCCAUAGCUACAACAUCUGAAGAUCUAUGAGGCCUUCAGCCAGGAGAGCUCUCCCAUGGAACAGGAAGUGAUGCGCAUAUACUCCUCCUCCCCCCCUCCGCUGGACGACGAAUCAGGGGGAGAGGAGGACGAUGACGAGUUUGGGGAUUUCUCUGGGGGUGUGGCAAUGUCAUCCAACCAGCCGUGCCCCUCCACCAGCCGUGCCCCUCCACAGCACUUUAGUGUUAGUAACUCCUCCUCUUUCUCCGGAACUACCCAUAGCAACGGAAUCUCGAAACAGUUCCGAGCAGCUGACGACCUGAAGAAGCCACGGGCGCCGGUGGUGGACCAAUCACAGCCCGCUAAUACUGGGACCUCAGAGGUCGGCAGGGUUCGGCCGGGGUUGGAGGUCAAAGGGCAGCCCUGUCAUUGCGGCCUCCCUGACCUCCCUCUCACCAAUGGGUUUACCAAGCGGAAUCACCAGGGGACCAUGUCUGCAGGUCUUGUACCGGCUGGCCUGGGCUCCCCCAGCCAGGAGCAGGGGUUUGCAGACUUCUCUGCGUUCGCCGAGCCAGAGAUGGAGCUGGAACCCUGGUGCUGCGGCUUCACUCACACUCACAGUACGGAGCACAGGAAGGACGGCAGGAUGGAAGGGACAAACCUAACCAACGGUUUCUGCAAUGCACACUCGGUCCAGAAGGACAUAGAGCAGCGGGCCAGAAUAGAGCCUGGCGGGCCUGACUCUCAAUGUUUAGCACAGCAAGGGGACAGGGACUGCACUGGAGUCCAGCAACACUGUGAGCUAAGGGGCCACCCUCAGGACUCUGGCCUCUUAGCCCCCAUAGAGGUGCUCUGUGCUAGGGGUGAGGGGCUGGGGGAGCCUGGAGAGAGGGCACCCAGCAUCAACAGGGAUAGCACACUUACACAGGACCCAGAACUGGGAGGGAGGAGGGUGGAGGAGGAGGAAGAUAAGGAGAGCGAAACAGAGGACAGUGUCUCUCCUCUCCCCACCACAGUCAGUGGGUCAGUGAGUGAGGAGUUUGUCUCCUCUGGUGAGGCUGUGUCGUCAGACGCUUUGGAGGAGUUUGGGAACUUUGGCGAGACGGUCUUCACUCCCUCGUCAAUAGGGGAGGAGGAGAAGGAGAAAGAGGAGGUGCAGCGGAGUGACCUCCGGGAGGAGACCGAGACAAAGAUGGUGGAGGAGGAAGAUGAAGAAGAGGACUUUGGAAUCUUCAGGGAUGCUGGAUCCUUCCCUAGCCAGGAGGACUUUGCUGACUUCAACCAAUCGGAGUCCAGGACACAGGAGGGCUUUGGUGUCUUUGAACAGGACUAUUCUGAGUACCUAGGUCCGACCCAGGCGUGUGGGGAGGAGGUUGGACAUGGAGACCUUCCUCUCAGCGACAGCUUUGCAGACUUCCACUCUGCUCCCCUGGAGGGGCAGGGUGAGAGGGAGGAGGGCUGGGGGGCGUAUGGGGACCAGAGAGGUCUGUCGGAGGGGGAGACCUGGGCAGAGUUUGGAGAGGAGGAUAGAGCCAGGUGGACAGAAGAGGCAGAGGAGAAGAAGUGGGGAGAGAGAUGUCGGGGAGGUGCUGCUGUACGAAGGGACAGUCUGCAGGACUCCCUGUCUAUCCGGCUACAGAGAGUCCUACAGACCAGUUUCCCUGCAGUGGCAGUCCCAGAACUGGAUCAGGAGAGGGAGGAGACUGGGGUGGAAGGGGAGGAGACUGGGGUGGAGGGGGAGGGGACUGGGGUGGAGGAGGAGGAGACUGCCAUGGAGGAGGAGGAGACGGAGGUGGAGGAGGAAGUGGAGGACAGUGGGGAUGAGGUGUUGAAUGUGCUCAGCCUCAGGGCUCUGCUAGAGACUCUAGACACACAGCCUGAGGAAGAGGAGACGAAGGGGCUCAACCACACUACACACUGGGUUCCUAGGGGCGCGUGGCGGCAGCCUCAGGACCUCCACGAUGCCGUGGGCCUGGGAUUCCAGUGGGGCGGUUCCCAUAGCAACAGGGCCCUGCUCCGCUGUCUGGGGAUGGACACCAGAAACAUGUUGUUCACUGGUCAGAGAAAGCAGCCUGUCAUAGUUCCUGUGUUUGCAGCCAGCCUGGGAAUGUUAGAGCCCACCAAAGAGCCACUGAGACCAGCUUCAACUGCGGAGAAGACUGCUGCCACAGCACAAGCACUUCCUGGGUCACAGGAAACCACCACCACCUCGUCAAUACAGCAGGGGGCCCCCCAGCCUUGGUCCCAGUUUGACUGGAGCAGCAGUGGCCUUGGCGUCAACCGUCUGGAUGGUACGUCCUCCCACUGAGCCCCCUACCUACAGGGCCAGAGAUGAGGCUGCUGUACACACUCUCCCCUCCGACUGCUGCUACCUGACUCCUGUUAUUCUCUUUGGUUCCAAUGUCCACACCAGCAUACUAGACUACCACCUAUAAAGAAUCAAUGUGUUGGACAUACUAGACUACCACAUAUAAUGAAGCAAUGUGUUGGACAUGCAUUCUAAGUAAGUGGUAUGUAAGUGUGGACUUUGGAACAUAGUCCCUAUCACUCCCCCCCUCUCCCCCUCCAUCUCUCCUCUGCUCCUCUCUUCACACUGAAGUGUCCCUCUAGAUGGUACUACUCAUUUUCAUGACCUACUGUCCCUUUAAUUGUAUCUUGUAUUCUGGAAUCCAAAGGCUCUCUCUCUAUACGUCUAACUUAACCGGCUACCUCGUCUGCCCUGUAUUGAGUGAUGCUGAUGAGGUUUCUCACAUGUUGUUACCCUUCAUCAUUGAUCCAAACACUGUUUCUUAUUGCACUGGGCGAGAGAUCUUUCAGUAUUAGUGGAGGAAAUGGGGCAAAGACAAGUCAAGCCAUAUAGAUGAAUGUCUGGCCAUAGCCUAAAGGGAAUCCCCCCAGUAGUUGCAUUUUGGUUGUAGUAGAAGUAAGCUCGUGAAAAAGCCUGAAAUCCAGACCUGUUCUGUACGAACAUUCCACUCCUUGUACUUUGUCAUAUGCCAAAAAUUAUGUUUGGCAUGACAUGAAGUAGAAUAUUAGCACAAACAGACUGGUAUCCAGACUAGAGAAAGCCAGGAUCCUCUUACUAGUACCCAGGAUAGAGAAAUACAGGAUCCUCUUACUAGUACCCAGGAUAGAGAAAUACAGGAUCCUCUUACUAGUACCCAGGAUAGAGAAAUACAGGAUCCUCUUACUAGUACCCAGGAUAGAGAAAGCCAGGAUCCUCUUACUAGAACCCAGGAUAGAGAAAGCCAGGAUCCUCUUACUAGUACCCAGGAUAGAGAAAGCCAGGAUCCUCUUACUAGUACCCAGGCUAGAGAAAGCCAGGAUCCUCUUACUAGUACCCAGGAUAGAGAAAUACAGGAUCCUCUUACUGGUACCUAGGAUAGAGAAAGCCAAGAUAGAGAAAGCCAGGAUCCUCUUACUGGUACCCAGGAUAGAGAAAGACAGGAUCCUCUUACUAGUACCCAGGAUAGAGAAAGCCAGGAUAGAGAAAGCCAGGAUCAUCUUACUAUUACCCAGGAUAGAGAAAGCCAGGAUAGAGAAAGCCAGGAUCAUCUUACUAGUACCCAGGAUAGAGAAACCCAGGAUAGAGAAAGCCAGGAUCAUCUUAUUAGUCCCCAUGAUAGAGAAAGCCAGGAUCAUCUUACUAGUACCCAGGAUAGAGAAAGCCAGGAUCCUCUAAUUAGUACCCAGGAUAGAGAAAGCCAGGAUCCUCCUACUGUUACCCAGGAUAGAGAAAGCCAGGAUCCUCUUACUACUACCCAGGAUAGAGAAAGCCAGGAUAGAGAAAGCCAGGAUCCUCUUACUGUUACCCAGGAUAGAGAAAGCCAGGAUCCUCUUACUAGUACCCAGGAUAGAGAAAGCCAGGAUAGAGAAAGCCAGGAUCCUCUUACUAGUACCCAGGAUAAAGAAAGCCAGGAUCUUCUUACUGGUACCCCGGAUAGAGAAACCCAGGAUAGAGAAAGCCAGGAUCCUCUUACUGGUACCCAGGAUAGAGAAAGCCAGGAUCCUCUUACUGGUACCCAGGAUAGAGAAAGCCAGGAUUCUCUUACUGGUACCCAGCAUAGAGAAAGCCAGGAUAGAGAAAGCCAGGAUCCUCUUACUGGUACCCAGGAUAGAGAAACCCAGGAUUGAGAAAGCCAGGAUAGAGAAAGCCAGGAUUCUCUUACUAGUACCCAGGAUAGAGAAAGCCAGGAUAGAGAAAGCCAGGAUUCUCUUACUGGUACCCAGGAUAGAGAAACCCAGGAUAGAGAAAGCCAGGAUUCUCUUACUGGUACCCAGGAUAGAGAAACCCAGGAUAGAGAAAGCCAGGAUUCUCUUACUGUUUUCUGUUUAAGCUCCUAUUCUGUGUUUUCUUAUAUUCUUCUGUAUCUUUACUUUUCAUUUUCUUUGUAAAAUAAAGAGGACAUAUUCAGUAAACUGAAACUGAAACUUUACAAUCACUGUGAUUAUAUAAACACAAUAUCUGCAAAAGAAAAUACAAUUUGAUUUAGCUUGAAUAUGUUUUUAUAUUUAUUUUUAGAUCCCCCCCUUUCAGUGUGGUUGCAAUAAACACUGUUGUAAAUACGUGAAUAAACCUCUUUCUAAUAUAUUACACC